This 445-nucleotide ribosomal RNA is filed under the name Lawsonella clevelandensis. Its description in RNAcentral is "bacterial SSU rRNA". It matches the Rfam family "Bacterial small subunit ribosomal RNA", at positions 338 to 795 of the family's 1533-position model. The record is from RNAcentral. Lineage: Bacteria; Bacillati; Actinomycetota; Actinomycetes; Mycobacteriales; Lawsonellaceae.
CCUACGGGAGGCAGCAGUGGGGAAUAUUGCACAAUGGGCGGAAGCCUGAUGCAGCGACGCCGCGUGAGGGAUGACGGCCUUCGGGUUGUAAACCUCUUUCAGUAGGGACGAAGCGUAAGUGACGGUACCUGCAGAAGAAGCACCGGCUAACUACGUGCCAGCAGCCGCGGUAAUACGUAGGGUGCGAGCGUUGUCCGGAAUUACUGGGCGUAAAGAGCUCGUAGGCGGUUUGUCACGUCGUCUGUGAAAUCCUAGGGCUUAACCCUGGACGUGCAGGCGAUACGGGCUGACUUGAGUACUACAGGGGAGACUGGAAUUUCUGGUGUAGCGGUGGAAUGCACAGAUAUCAGGAAGAACACCGAUGGCGAAGGCAGGUCUCUGGGUAGUAACUGACGCUGAGGAGCGAAAGCAUGGGUAGCGAACAGGAUUAGAUACCCUGGUAGUC